Molecule: small nucleolar RNA, 136 nt
Organism: Cavia porcellus (domestic guinea pig)
Lineage: Eukaryota; Metazoa; Chordata; Mammalia; Rodentia; Caviidae
Source: Ensembl
UUGGCUCUAAAUAAAGGCUGGUGGUUUUCUGAAGCUGUUGGUUUCAAGCAAGAGCCAAAAGUGGUAUCUUCUAUGGUCUGUUGGCCAUUUCAGAACUUUAUAGAUACUGUGAUCAAUUCAUUAGAAAGAAGCAAAU